CCUACGGGCGGCAGCAGUGGGGAAUAUUGGGCAAUGGGCGCAAGCCUGACCCAGCAACGCCGCGUGCAGGAAGAAGGCUUUCGGGUUGUAAACCUCUUUUGUCAGGGAGGAGUAGAAGACGGUACCUGACGAAUAAGCCACGGCUAACUACGUGCCAGCAGCCGCGGUAAUACGUAGGUGGCAGGCGUUGUCCGGAUUUACUGGGUGUAAAGGGCGUGUAGCCGGGUUGACAAGUCAGAUGUGAAAUCCUGCGGCUUAACCGCAGAACUGCAUUUGAAACUGUUGAUCUUGAGUACUGGAGAGGCAGACGGAAUUCCUAGUGUAGCGGUGAAAUGCGUAGAUAUUAGGAGGAACACCAGUGGCGAAGGCGGUCUGCUGGACAGCAACUGACGGUGAGGCGCGAAAGCGUGGGGAGCAAACAGGAUUAGAUACCCCAGUAGUC
Molecule: ribosomal RNA, 442 nt
Filed under: uncultured bacterium
Lineage: Bacteria
Description: partial 16S ribosomal RNA
Rfam family: Bacterial small subunit ribosomal RNA
Source: RNAcentral